RNAcentral lists this ribosomal RNA (161 nucleotides) under Tropaeolum cochabambae. RNAcentral's name for it is "5.8S ribosomal RNA". It matches the Rfam family "5.8S ribosomal RNA". From Rfam's summary of the family: 5.8S ribosomal RNA (5.8S rRNA) is a component of the large subunit of the eukaryotic ribosome. It is transcribed by RNA polymerase I as part of the 45S precursor that also contains 18S and 28S rRNA. The record is from RNAcentral. Lineage: Eukaryota; Viridiplantae; Streptophyta; Magnoliopsida; Brassicales; Tropaeolaceae.
AACGACUCUCGGCAACGGAUAUCUCGGCUCUCGCAUCGAUGAAGAACGUAGCGAAAUGCGAUACUUGGUGUGAAUUGCAGAAUCCCGUGAACCAUCGAGUUUUUGAACGCAAGUUGCGCCUCAAGCCGCAAGGUAAGGGCACGUCUGCCUGGGUGUCACGC